This 327-nucleotide ribosomal RNA is filed under the name uncultured eukaryote. RNAcentral describes it as "partial 18S ribosomal RNA". It matches the Rfam family "Eukaryotic small subunit ribosomal RNA", at positions 1470 to 1796 of the family's 1831-position model. The record is from RNAcentral.
CCCUUAGAUGUUCUGGGCUGCACGCGCGCUACACUGAUGCGCUCAACGAGUUUUAACCUUGCCUGGAAAGGUUGGGUAAUCUUUUUAAAACGCAUCGUGAUGGGGAUAGAUUAUUGCAAUUAUUAAUCUUCAACGAGGAAUGCCUAGUAGGCGCAAGUCAUCAGCUUGCGUCGAUUACGUCCCUGCCCUUUGUACACACCGCCCGUCGCUCCUACCGAUUGGGUGUGCUGGUGAAAUGUUCGGAUCGGCCGUUUGUCGCGGUUUCCGCGUCAUGUGGCUGAGAAGUUCAUUAAACCCUCCCACCUAGAGGAAGGAGAGGUCGUAACA